GAAAAGAGACUUGGGGAGCCCUCUAGGCAAGUCUUUUUGGCUGGAAUCCUGGAGGCUUCCUGCCUGAGCCUGGAUCUGAGGAAGCUUAAGCAGGCCAAAGUGUUUAUGCCAUGGAAUGAGGAAGGGUUGGGGACAUCUGAAACCGGGGAGUUAUUCAAGCCAGGGGCACAAAUUGACAGUGAUCAAGAGGAGACUUGAAGGCCAGAUGGGAAUUACCACCUACAGGAGAUACUGCAGUGAGGAGUAUGACAUUGUGACAGAGGACGACUAUAUCCUUACUGUACAAAGCGCUCCCCAUAGAAAAGUGAAGAAUGGGACAAGAGGCAGACAACCAGAAACUGGCUUCCUGGAGUUCGAGCAAGGCAUCAUAGAGAAUCUGACUCCCAUGGAGGAGACCUAAUGAGAUCAAUGCAGGAACAUCUUAUGUGGCAAAAAGGAGGACCUGGAGAACUAUUCACCAGUCAACCUGACUUCAGGAACUGCAGCAGAUUAUGAAGAAGUCUAUUUGUAAGCAUCUGGAGGAGGAAAGGCUGAUCAUGAGCAGCCAGCAGAUACUUGAGUGCUUGAAGCUGGGGCUGCAUGAACUUAA
Molecule: long non-coding RNA, 589 nt
Organism: Alligator sinensis (Chinese alligator)
Lineage: Eukaryota; Metazoa; Chordata; Crocodylia; Alligatoridae
Exons: 5
Source: RefSeq, a predicted model, not a curated record